Molecule: long non-coding RNA, 245 nt
Filed under: Brachypodium distachyon (stiff brome)
Lineage: Eukaryota; Viridiplantae; Streptophyta; Magnoliopsida; Poales; Poaceae
Description: long non-coding RNA (BDIS_LNC001726)
Source: RNAcentral
CUCUCUGAUCAUCGGCGCCGUCAAAAGGGAGGCUGGCAAUAUAAUGGCAUGGGCCAAAUAGUGCACAACAUAUACUGGUUCGGUAUCACUCCAAUAGUUAGAUUUUUCAUGUUUUUUAAUAUUUACAGUAAAUUUCACAAAACACCUACAAAAAAUUGCGGGUUUAGCAUUAUGAAACCAUGACUUUUGUACCUUUUUUUUUCUUAUGACCAUAGUUAUUGCACUAGUUAGUACUUCUUCCGCCU